GAGGGUAUAGCUCAGGUGGUUAGAGCGCGAGAUUGUGGCUCUCGAGGCCGUGGGUUCGAGUCCCAUUAUCCUCC
Molecule: transfer RNA, 74 nt
Filed under: uncultured Armatimonadota bacterium
Lineage: Bacteria; Bacillati; Armatimonadota
Also listed under: 1 other name
Description: uncultured Armatimonadetes bacterium tRNA-His-GTG
Rfam family: tRNA
About the family: Transfer RNA (tRNA) molecules are approximately 80 nucleotides in length.
Source: RNAcentral